GAUGAACGCUGACAGAAUGCUUAACACAUGCAAGUCUACUUGAACUUCGGUUUGGGUGGCGGACGGGUGAGUAACGCGUAAAGAACUUGCCUCACAGAUAGGGACAACAUUUGGAAACGAAUGCUAAUAUCUGAUAUUAUGAUAUUAGGGCAUCCUAGAAUUAUGAAAGCUAUAUGCACUGUGAGAGAGCUUUGCGUCCCAUUAGCUAGUUGGAGAGGUAACGGCUCACCAAGGCGAUGAUGGGUAGCCGGCCUGAGAGGAUGAUCGGCCACAAGGGGACGGAGACACGGCCCUUACUCCUUCGGGAGGCAGCAGUGGGGAAGAUAGGACAAGGGACCAAGAGUCUGAUCCAGCAAUUCUGUGUGCACGAUGAAGUUUUUCGGAAUGUAAAGUGCUUUCAGUUUGGAAGAAAAAAAUGACGGUACCAACAGAAGAAGUGACGGCUAAAUACGUG
Molecule: ribosomal RNA, 454 nt
Filed under: uncultured bacterium
Lineage: Bacteria
Description: partial 16S ribosomal RNA
Rfam family: Bacterial small subunit ribosomal RNA
Source: RNAcentral